Pelobates cultripes (western spadefoot toad) is the source of this 224-nucleotide non-coding RNA. The record is from the annotation of a GenBank genome assembly. Lineage: Eukaryota; Metazoa; Chordata; Amphibia; Anura; Pelobatidae.
UUUCAAUGUUUCCCCUCUCCUCCUGUACCUUUCAUUGUCCCACCUCCAUCCUGUACCUUUUCAGAGUCCCCCCCUCACCUCUUGUAUCAUUUAUUGUCCCCCGCCCCUCCUGAACCUUUCAUAGUCCCCCUUCCGCCUCCCAUCCUAUACCUUAUGUAUCUUUUAUUGUGUCUCCCUCCUGUACAUUUUAUUGUGCCCCCAGCCCAAAUGUGCCUUUUUAUUGU